CGAAGGGGGCAAGCGUUGUUCGGAAUUACUGGGCGUAAAGGGCGCGUAGGCGGCUUAUCAAGUCAGGCGUGAAAUUCCCGGGCUCAACCUGGGGGCUGCGCUUGAUACUGAUUGGCUUGAAUGCGGGAGAGGAUAGCGGAAUUCCCAGUGUAGAGGUGAAAUUCGUAGAUAUUGGGAAGAACACCGGUGGCGAAGGCGGCUAUCUGGCCCGUAAUUGACGCUGAGGCGCGAAAGCGUGGGGAGCAAACAGGAUUGGAUACCCUGGUAGUCCACGCCGUAGACGAUGAAUGCUAGACGUUGGCGAGCAUGCUCGUCAGUGUCGGAGCUAACGCAUUAAGCAUUCCGCCUGGGGAGUACGGUCGCAAGAUUA
RNAcentral lists this ribosomal RNA (370 nucleotides) under uncultured organism. RNAcentral's name for it is "bacterial SSU rRNA". It matches the Rfam family "Bacterial small subunit ribosomal RNA", at positions 526 to 896 of the family's 1533-position model. The record is from RNAcentral.